Theobroma cacao (cacao) is the source of this 1697-nucleotide RNA transcript. RefSeq lists it as uncharacterized. The record is from RefSeq and is a predicted model, not a curated record. NCBI's taxonomy places the organism in Eukaryota, Viridiplantae, Streptophyta, Magnoliopsida, Malvales, Malvaceae.
CCGAAUCCCUGCCCUUUGCCUCAUUAUAUUUCUAUCAGACUUCACUUCCUGGCCUUGCAAAGUAGCAGUUGCAGAGCUUCUAAAAAUGUCUGUUAUUGCAGUUUUCUCCAAUUGGUUCUCCUCAUACCCUCCAAAACCAGUUCCCAGCUCAUUCCAUCGACGACCUCUAAAGCAGCCUGGCUGCUUCAUUUUUCCUCCUUAUAGAGUUUCCGCUGAUAAUACCAGACAGUUAUCAGCUUAUCACUUCUUUAGACAGCCAACUUUCAGGACUAGAAGUUUCCAGCAUGAAGAUACUGAAAACAUUGGGGCUGCAGAACCUAAAGAUAAGCUGGAGAAAGGAGAUAGAGCUGCUGAUGAGGUACUUGAAAAUCAAACCAGUGGGACUGAUAGGACAGGAAGUUCAUUUCUGGCAAAAUUAGCAAUUGCAUUAGGUGUAGCUGCAGCUCUUACUGUCAUAUCGUUUGGCCUCAAGGGGGCUAGUUUUGGAUCAUUGCUAGGAGUUCAACACCUGGCUGAAGGUUCAUCCUCUUCAAUUAUGGACUCCUCUCUUGGUUUCACUUUCAAAGCUUUUGGAUACCGAUUUGUACUUCCAGAAUAUGCACCAGGAUGGAUUUACUUUUGGUUGCUUAUGGCUGCUGGGUUUGGACUUUUCAUUAGUGAAGAGGCUUUAAAUAUCUGGGUUGGCAUAACUUUGGCACGGAUGCUGUCAUUAGAUGGAACAUGGCAUUCCUUUGUUGAAUCUCUCUCAAGAAACACCCCAUACAUAAUAUCCACAGUUCUCUGGGUAUACUGGGGAGUUUGCAUCAGUGAUAUGAUACCAUUUUACUUUGGAAAGUUGUUUAGACAAAGUGGAGCAUCUGAUGAUGUUUGUUCAAAGUUAGGGAUUGGUGAAGAGAAGGUGUUGCACAUCACACGGGUUGUUCAAAAAUAUGGCAAUCUCAUAGGCUUCAUAGAGCGAUUUUCCUUAGGAGUAAGAAAUCCCACGGCUUUCCUAGCAGGGUCCCUGGGAAUAUCACCUGAAUUCUUCUUCGCUGGAGUUUGUUGUGGUGGCUUGGUCACUGUUCCGAUUCAGCUGGGAAUUGGAUUUCUGAUGAGGAAACGUCCUGUCUUUGCCCUUGCAACUGUCGCCACAGUAGUGGGAAUUUGGACUGCGUUGCCAUAUGUUGUGGCUGCUGCAACAGCAUUAUUCCUUUUCCUGCAGCGCCGCUACUCAACCUAGCCCUUUCAAAUUGUUAUCAGAUUCAGAAAUGCAGAGGAGAUGCUACUAAUUUGUGAUUGGAUGUGCAGGUUACCGUUAAUGAUAAGCCAAUUUAAAUAUAUUCACCGAAAAAUCACCCUCUAGUAUCUUGCAUUACAUCUUGUAAUCCGUUAAAGACAGGACCUUCUGCGGAACAAGGUUGGAUUUUGGCUUUACAUUUUCGGCUGUUGCCUAGGGAGUAAUUGGUCCUCAAUGUUGAUAGCCUGUAGAGUGAAUUGGUUCUUUGAAGGUGAUACCAGUAUCACUAUUCACCAACCGAGCAGAAGAGCUUGGUUCCUUCCUGAGGCUGAUGACAAGCUAUAGUUGACUAGAGAAGAAAAGUACUGAAAUUGUAACUUCUUGGAAUGCCAAAAUAGGCAACAAAGAUAAUGGUGAGAUUGUUUGUAGCUAAUCCCUUAUAAAGAGCCAUCAUGAAAUUGUAUGUCCUUUGAAAGGCCAA